GCCAUCCUCCUGUGACAAGAUACCCUUCAGCCUCUAACCACAGAAUUUUGAUGCUUUCUCUCUUUUAUAUUCACUUCAAACUAGUGAUACAAUGAGGCUACUCAAACCCUUCACCACUGGACCAAUCAUAUUGACUUACAUAUAUAACUGGAAUUGAAAGUUCACUGAACUUCUUGAGUGAAUUUCAAUUUAUGGUGGUGUGGAGGCAGUGGAGGCGAAUCUAUGGUGAAGUUGGCAUACCAGAAUAUUAUGCACUUUGGGAACCAACUGAGUCAUACUAUAUGGAGGAGGAUUUGGUCCGGGAAAGGGGUGCCGCACAUCAGCUGCUAGGCGUUCUGAAACUACCUAGUUGUAUUUUGUGCUUUUCUCUGGGCGUAAGCCCCAUCUUUAACCAAAAAAAAAAGAAGAAGUUACCAUUAUAUUACAAUAUGACUUCUUCAAUGCGGUUUAUUAGUUUCAUGCACCAAAUAAAAAGACAUAUAUGCUUUGCUGAAUUAUGUGAUAAUCAC
This is a long non-coding RNA of Gastrolobium bilobum, 509 nucleotides long. RefSeq lists it as uncharacterized. Lineage: Eukaryota; Viridiplantae; Streptophyta; Magnoliopsida; Fabales; Fabaceae. The transcript has 3 exons. The record is from RefSeq and is a predicted model, not a curated record.